CCUACGGGAGGCAGCAGUGGGGAAUAUUGGACAAUGGGGGCAACCCUGAUCCAGCCAUGCCGCGUGAGUGAUGAAGGCCUUCGGGUUGUAAAGCUCUUUUGGCGGGGACGAUGAUGACGGUACCCGCAGAAUAAGCCCCGGCUAACUUCGUGCCAGCAGCCGCGGUAAGACGAAGGGGGCUAGCGUUGUUCGGAAUUACUGGGCGUAAAGCGCGUGUAGGCGGUUUGCCAAGUCGGGUGUGAAAGCCUUGGGCUUAACCCAAGAAAUGCACUCGGUACUGGCAGACUAGAGGACCGGAGAGGAUAGUGGAAUUCCCAGUGUAGUGGUGAAAUACGUAGAGAUUGGGAAGAACACCAGUGGCGAAGGCGGCUAUCUGGACGGUUUCUGACGCUAAGACGCGAAAGCGUGGGGAGCAAACAGGAUUAGAUACCCUGGUAGUCCACGCCGUAAACGAUGGGUGCUAGACGUUGGCGAGCUUGCUCGUCAGUGUCGCAGCUACGUACGUAGACACCCGCCGUCGGGAGGUACGGCCGCAGUAGAACUACAAGAAUAGACGCGNGAGACGUGCGAGCGACACGAGGGAGAG
RNAcentral lists this ribosomal RNA (586 nucleotides) under uncultured bacterium. RNAcentral's name for it is "bacterial SSU rRNA". The stretch from base 1 to 516 matches the Rfam family "Bacterial small subunit ribosomal RNA", at positions 338 to 873 of the family's 1533-position model. The record is from RNAcentral.